RNAcentral lists this ribosomal RNA (253 nucleotides) under uncultured bacterium. Its description in RNAcentral is "partial 16S ribosomal RNA". It matches the Rfam family "Bacterial small subunit ribosomal RNA", at positions 524 to 776 of the family's 1533-position model. The record is from RNAcentral.
GACGUAGGGUGCGAGCGUUGUCCGGAUUUAUUGGGCGUAAAGAGCUCGUAGGCGGUCUGUCGCGUCUGCUGUGAAAACUCGGGGCUUAACCCCGGGCCUGCAGUGGGUACGGGCAGACUAGAGUGCGGUAGGGGAGACUGGAAUUCCUGGUGUAGCGGUGAAAUGCGCAGAUAUCAGGAGGAACACCGGUGGCGAAGGCGGGUCUCUGGGCCAUAACUGACGCUGAGAAGCGAAAGCAUGGGGAGCGAACAGG